This is a non-coding RNA of Microcebus murinus (gray mouse lemur), 3127 nucleotides long. The record is from RefSeq and is a predicted model, not a curated record. NCBI's taxonomy places the organism in Eukaryota, Metazoa, Chordata, Mammalia, Primates, Cheirogaleidae.
GCCUGACUGACCCGCAGAGUCCAGCUCCGCAGGGGCGAAGGGAGCAAGGGGAGGAGAAGACAAGGCGGGCGGGCCGCGCCCGGCUGGGGCUGGGGGAGGCGACAGGAGAGCCUCCCGUUGUCCCGGAGCCAGCGGGCUGGGGGGCCAGCGCUGUGGCCCAGCGCCCUUCUCUUCCCACCGGCUCUCCGAUGUUUCCAUGAGCUUUAAAAUAUUCUGCGACACUAUCAUUUUGUCACGGAACCCUUGAAGUCCUUCUGUAACGACGACGCCCAGCCUUUGUAGCAGACUGCUGACAGCAGCGCUUCCACUCCUGAGGCAGGCAGGGCGUUUCCCUGGGCCGGGGCAGCAGGGCGUCUCCCUUCUGCAGCCGGGGCAGGGAAGGCCAAGCGCGACCCCUGUUAUCCGCAACGCAGUGCCAGGGUUGGUCUGAGGAUUUAAUGAAAUAAGGCUGCGCACAUUCCUUCCUGGUCCAUGAUCGGCUGUCAACUUAUGUUAGCUCUUCUCCCUCCUCUGCCCAAGAUGUCUCUGGGAACGCCUGGGAAGCACUCUUACCCUUCACCAUUGGCACCGACUCCAAGUGACCAGGCCUUAACAUAGCGGCAAAGGAGAAACUGCAGGAAUGAGCGAGAGCACUAGACUUCAUUUAUAGCCCUUACUGUGUCCGCAUGGGAAAGACAAACGAGCUGGGCAGUGGACAGUGGGUGCCAUUUCCGGAUCAUUAAUUAGCAAGUUGCUCAGCCUUGGCAGGAAAUUGUUCAUCAUUUUCAGAUGAGUAGAGAAUUGAAGAACCUUCUAACUGUCCUCCCUCACUCUGCGCCAGCAUGGCAGAUGCAAUUUUUCUCACCAAGCUUUCCCUCCCACAGUGCCUUAUCAAGAUAAGUGACCUUAGACGACAGUUGCCAAGUGAUCUGCUGAAUCCAAGAGCCCUAAACUCGGAAGGGGGCCGGGCCAGGGCCAGGGCCAAAGGCUUCCAGGGCUGGAAAGCCAGGCCGGAAACCCCAAAAGAUAAAUGAAGACUUCUGGAACAAGAUGAGAAGACGAAUAAACUGUUUGCUUUGAGCAUGGACAUGAUGUUCCAGAAAAAUCCACUUUGGCUGCCAAAGUAAUGCUUUUGGAAUUCAGGAAGAACCCCUCCUCACCAGGACUCCCACAUACAGGCUUAGUGCUCAGGUCUUGCAUACAGUGUUUCAUAGCAAUCACUGAGUUGAGUUCAUUGCGCAGCAGAGGAACUUGAGGCCCAGAAAGCAAAAGUUAUUGCCUAAAUUAAAAUAUAUAGUAAGAGGCUGACUUUGAUUCCAAAGCAACAUCUGUCUGGUCCCAAAGGUCAGGCCUGCUUUAUUACCCCAUUGUGUGUCCCUCAGCAGGGUGACAGGUCACCAUGGACAGGACAGCCACUGGCCAAUAGCGUCUUCAACAUGGAUUGUCUGCUGCAUUCAGAGGGACUUGGUGCUGAAUAGUCCAGUCGUGCCUAUUCGUCAUUGCAGAGGCCCCUUUCCAGCGUGUCGGCCGGCCCUGGGCCGAAACAGGUCAGCGGAAGCCCCCGCAGCCAGCGAUCGACUCCUUCAGGAGCCUUCGCUGCUUCCUGCCACGUGGGUCUCCCCGCAGAGCGGCACCCUCAGUGACAGCCAGAGCUGGCCCCACGCCCGCGGGGAAGGGACUGCCCGGGCACUUUCUAACGGCACAGCUGCAGGUCGCUUAUAGCCGGGGAGCUCCCUGACUUUGCCAGGAAGGAAAGAAAAGAAGAAAAAAAACACGUAGUAUGUGUGAUACUGGUAAACAGAAAUGAAUAAGGAAAUUCUGAAGGCCCAGAAGGAUCAAGGGGGACGAGCGGCACAGAGCCCACCUGCGCUCAGUGGGGGCUCCGACUCCUGAGUCCUCAAGGCAUGUGCGUCUCCGAGAUGGAGUGGGGUCAGGGCGCGGCCCAGGUGGUCACCCCCGGUGCAGGGGAGGCUCUUGCCCGAGCUGUCUGAAGAACAGGAGCACCUCGCGACGUCACAGUGGGUGCAUGCUGCUGCUUUCUCACUCUUGCCACUAAGCACCUGUGACAGACCCCGGGCCUGGUGACUGGCAAGUGCCUUCCCAGCCAGAGCUGGCCGACGGUACUGAACACCCACGAUCCUCUCCAGGAUCUAUGUCAUGUGCUGCAGUUCUGACAGGACCACGCUGGCCGAUAUGCUGAAAAUACUUGGAAAGGCAGCCAGUGUGGAAGCAGAGGAGAGUAAGAGGCUCUUACAAUGGUCCGGGAGAGAGAUGAUGGUGGCUGGGACCCGAGGGUGUUGGUGGAGGUGGACAGAUGUGGAAGAACUCUGCAUAUAUGUUGCCAAAAAGCCAGGAGGCUUUCUGCUAUGGUUCGGACACGUGACUCCUCCAAAGCUCACGUGGAAACGUGGUCCUGGUGCUGUAGGUGGGCUGUGGGGCAGCCCCCCACGCGCGGCUGGGCGCCUUCCUCGCCACCGUGGGUUCUGGCUGUGUUGGUUCCCUCCAGAGCUGAUGCUUCAAAGAGCCCGGUGCCUCCCCUCGCGCUUCCCCCCUCGCUGUGCGACCUGCACACGCCAGCGCCCUCCACCAUGAGCAGAAGCUUCCCGAGGCCCUCGCGGAGCAAGUGUCGGCCGUGUGUCUUGUGCAGCCUGCAGGGCGGUGAGCCAAGACAUUCUUUUCAUUAUAAAUUACCCAGCCUCAGGGAUUCCCUUACGGCGACACAAAUGGACCGGGGCACGUUCUGAGAAGUGAGAUGUGCUGUGAGAGGAACAGAGGAGUCAAAGAUGGCUCCAGGGCUUUUGAUCUAAGUAACUGGAAAAAUGGGGUUACCACUUAUGGAAAAAUGGGAAGCCUGUGGGUGGGGGGUUAUGCUGGACCCCAAGGUAUGCUGAGUUUGCACUUUCUGCAUGAUGCCACAUUUCUCUCCAGAGUGGUUAUUUAAAUUAGAAUUCCACCGGCACGGCAUGAACAUUUCUGACUCCCAUAUUCCACCUCAGGCAUGGCUAGACUAAUGGGCACCUGCGUACUUUUCUGGUUAUCAGCAAGACUGAAUGCCGUCCAUGUGUUUGCUGAUUUUGGGUUUCUUCUUCUUUGCACUGACUAUUCAUAUCCUUUGUUCGCAUUUUCCAUUGGCUUGUCUUUUUCUUCU